This is a non-coding RNA of Trichosurus vulpecula (common brushtail), 131 nucleotides long. The record is from RefSeq and is a predicted model, not a curated record. NCBI's taxonomy places the organism in Eukaryota, Metazoa, Chordata, Mammalia, Diprotodontia, Phalangeridae.
CGUCUCAGCCGUGGGGCUGCUUGGAUGUUUUCGUUCCACAGCCGAGGCAAGGGACCGAGAGCAUCAUUGGAGGACUCUCGUCGGGGCUGCCUGUAGCUAAGGGUUGCCACGUUUUCCUGCCUCAGACACUU